Molecule: ribosomal RNA, 420 nt
Filed under: Bacillus subtilis
Lineage: Bacteria; Bacillati; Bacillota; Bacilli; Caryophanales; Bacillaceae
Description: bacterial SSU rRNA
Rfam family: Bacterial small subunit ribosomal RNA
Source: RNAcentral
GUGGCUUCGGCUACCACUUACAGAUGGACCCGCGGCGCAUUAGCUAGUUGGUGAGGUAACGGCUCACCAAGGCAACGAUGCGUAGCCGACCUGAGAGGGUGAUCGGCCACACUGGGACUGAGACACGGCCCAGACUCCUACGGGAGGCAGCAGUAGGGAAUCUUCCGCAAUGGACGAAAGUCUGACGGAGCAACGCCGCGUGAGUGAUGGAAGGUUUUCGGAUCGUAAAGCUCUGUUGUUAGGGAAGAACAAGUACCGUUCGAAUAGGGCGGUACCUUGACGGUACCUAACCAGAAAGCCACGGCUAACUACGUGCCAGCAGCCGCGGUAAUACGUAGGUGGCAAGCGUUGUCCGGAAUUAUUGGGCGUAAAGGGCUCGCAGGCGGUUUCUUAAGUCUGAUGUGAAAGCCCCCGGCUCAA